AUGUACCCCCAUACACUCCGGUUCCGUCCUCACCCACCUGACGGCUGCCCGCGACGUGUUGUUAGCC
Molecule: small RNA, 67 nt
Filed under: Xanthomonas campestris
Lineage: Bacteria; Pseudomonadati; Pseudomonadota; Gammaproteobacteria; Lysobacterales; Lysobacteraceae
Also listed under: 2 other names
Description: sX9 sRNA
Rfam family: Xanthomonas sRNA sX9
Source: RNAcentral